This 460-nucleotide ribosomal RNA is filed under the name uncultured bacterium. RNAcentral's name for it is "partial 16S ribosomal RNA". It matches the Rfam family "Bacterial small subunit ribosomal RNA", at positions 338 to 795 of the family's 1533-position model. The record is from RNAcentral.
CCUACGGGAGGCAGCAGUGAGGAAUAUUGGUCAAUGGACGAGAGUCUGAACCAGCCAAGUAGCGUGAAGGAUGACUGCCCUAUGGGUUGUAAACUUCUUUUAUAUGGGAAUAAAACGUUCCACGUGUGGGAUUUUGUAUGUACCAUAUGAAUAAGGAUCGGCUAACUCCGUGCCAGCAGCCGCGGUAAUACGGAGGAUACGAGCGUUAUCCGGAUUUAUUGGGUUUAAAGGGAGCGUAGGUGGAUUGUUAAGUCCGUUGUGAAAGUUUGCGGCUCAACCGUAAAAUUGCAGUUGAAACUGGCAGUCUUGAGUACAGUAGAGGUGGGCGGAAUUCGUGGUGUAGCGGUGAAAUGCUUAGAUAUCACGAAGAACUCCGAUUGCGAAGGCAGUUCACUGGACUGCAACUGACACUGAGGCUCGAAAGUGUGGGUAUCAAACAGGAUUAGAUACCCGUGUAGUC